RNAcentral lists this ribosomal RNA (460 nucleotides) under uncultured bacterium. Its description in RNAcentral is "partial 16S ribosomal RNA". It matches the Rfam family "Bacterial small subunit ribosomal RNA", at positions 338 to 795 of the family's 1533-position model. The record is from RNAcentral.
CCUACGGGGGGCAGCAGUGAGGAAUAUUGGUCAAUGGGCGCGAGCCUGAACCAGCCAAGUCGCGUGAGGGAGGACGGCCCUACGGGUUGUAAACCUCUUUUGCCGGGGAGCAACGGGCGGCACGUGUGGCGCCACGGAGAGGACCCGGAGAAAAAGCAUCGGCUAACUCCGUGCCAGCAGCCGCGGUAAUACGGAGGAUGCGAGCGUUAUCCGGAUUUAUUGGGUUUAAAGGGUGCGUAGGCGGAUCGUUAAGUCAGUGGUCAAAUUGAGGGGCUCAACCCCUUCCCGCCAUUGAAACUGGCGCUCUUGAGUGGAAGAGAAGUAUGCGGAAUGCGUGGUGUAGCGGUGAAAUGCAUCGAUAUCACGCAGAACCCCGAUUGCGCAGGCAGCAUGCCGGCUUCCGACUGCCGCUGAAGCACGAAAGCGUGGGGAUCGAACAGGAUUAGAUACCCUGGUAGUC